UUAUUUUUUAUUUAUUAAUAAUUUAUUUUUAUAAAAUUAUUUAUUAAAAAUAUUUAUAUAUUUUUUUGUUUUAGUAUUAUUUAUAGAAAAAAUAAAUUUAAUUAUAGUUUAAUAGUAUUGUAAAAGAAAAUUGAAAUAAAUUGAAAAAUUAAUAUUUUUAAAGAAAAUUUGAUUUGUUGUACCUUGUGUCUCAGGGUUUAUUAAAUAAAAAUUAAUUAUAUUAAUUUUCUCGAUUUUAAAAGAGUUAAUAUAUUAUGAAAGUUAAUGUAGUAAAAUUAUUUUUAAUAAUAUAUUUGAAAUGAAAUGUUAUUCGUUUUUAAAGGUAUCUAGUUUUUUAAGAAAUAAAUUUAAUUUAGAAGUUUUUUAUUAUAUAUUUUAAGUAAUUAAUAUAUUAAUUGAAAAAUUUUAAUAUUUUAUGGGAUAAGCUAUAAAAUAAAUUUUUAAAAAUUAAUAAAUAUGAUAAUAAAUAUAGAUUUAGAAAUAGUUAUUAUUAGUAAAAGUGUUAUAAUUUAUUUAGUUAAAUUAAUUAUUUAUUAAAUUUUAAUUUUAUAUUAAAAUAUUUAUUAUAAUUUUAUAAAUAAAAUAAUAAUGAUAAAAUUAGUAUAUUUUUGUUAGUAAAUAUGAUUAUAUGAUAAGUUUUUAUAAAGAAUUCGGCAAAAGUAAUAUUCGCCUGUUUAACAAAAACAUGUCUUUUUGAAUUAUUUAAAAAGUCUAGCCUGCCCACUGAUUAUUUUAAAUGGCCGCAGUAUAUUAACUGUGCAAAGGUAGCAUAAUCAUUAGUCUUUUAAUUGGAGGCUGGUAUGAAUGGUUGGACGAAAUAUUAACUGUUUCAUUAAAAUUUAUAAUAGAAUUUUAUUUUUUAGUAAAAAAGCUAAAAUUUUAUUAAAAGACGAGAAGACCCUAUAAAUCUUUAUAUAAAUGAAUUAUUAUAUUAUUUAAGAUUUUUUUUAAUAUAAUAAUUCAAUAUAUUUUAUUGGGGUGAUAUUAAAAUUUAAUUAACUUUUAAUAAAAUAAAACAUUAAUUUAUGAAUUAUUGAUCCAUUAUUAUUGAUUAAAAAAAUAAGUUACUUUAGGGAUAACAGCGUAAUUUUUUUGGGGAGUUCUAAUCGAUAAAAAAUAUUGCGACCUCGAUGUUGGAUUAAGAUAUAAUUUUAGGUGUAGCCGCUUAAAUUUUAAGUCUGUUCGACUUUUAAAAUCUUACAUGAUCUGAGUUCAAACCGGCGUAAGCCAGGUUGGUUUCUAUCUUUAAUUAAUUAAAAUAUUAUAGUACGAAAGGACCUUAUAUUUAAUAAAUUAUUAUUUUUAAAAUGAAUAUAAAUAAUAUAA
RNAcentral lists this ribosomal RNA (1326 nucleotides) under Protomiltogramma cincta. RNAcentral describes it as "16S ribosomal RNA". The record is from RNAcentral. Lineage: Eukaryota; Metazoa; Arthropoda; Insecta; Diptera; Sarcophagidae.